RNAcentral lists this ribosomal RNA (253 nucleotides) under uncultured bacterium. RNAcentral's name for it is "partial 16S ribosomal RNA". It matches the Rfam family "Bacterial small subunit ribosomal RNA", at positions 524 to 776 of the family's 1533-position model. The record is from RNAcentral.
UACGGGGGGAGCAAGCGUUGUUCGGAAUUACUGGGCGUAAAGGGCGCGUAGGCGGGUUUCCAAGUCGGGGGUGAAAUUCCAGGGCUCAACCCUGGGACGGCCUUCGAUACUGGGAGCCUGGAGAUCGGGAGAGGUGAGUGGAAUUCCGAGUGUAGAGGUGAAAUUCGUAGAUAUUCGCAAGAACACCAGUGGCGAAGGCGGCUCACUGGCCCGGUACUGACGCUGAGGUGCGAAAGCGUGGGGAGCAAACAGG